GUUUAGUUAAUAUAACAGCUCCAGGUUAACUGUUGAAGGGGAUAUAUAGUUUAAUUAAUGUAACAGCUCCAGGUUAACUGUUGAAGGGGAUAUAUAGUUUAAUUGAUAUAACAACUCCAGGUUAACUGUUGAAGGGGAUAUAUAGUUUAAUUAAUGUAACAGCUCCAGGUUAACUGUUGAAGGGGAUAUAUAGUUUAAUUAAUGUAACAGCUCCAGGUUAACUGUUGAAGGGGAUAUAUAGUUUAAUUGAUAUUACAGCUCCAGGUUAACUGUUGUCAUGACGUUGGCCUCUCUGAGUAUAGCAACCCCAUCCCCCUCUCCCUGCCUCCCCCUUUCCUCCUUCAACUAGGCUGCUGUGGUCAGAGGUCGUAAAUUCCUCAGAAGACCCUGUCUCAUGGCCACACAGUAUUAGAGAGAGGGUAAACUUUCAUAGAGGACAAAGGAAAUCCUUCCACCUCACAGAACUUGAGGUACGAA
Long non-coding RNA from Oncorhynchus tshawytscha (Chinook salmon), 477 nucleotides. NCBI's taxonomy places the organism in Eukaryota, Metazoa, Chordata, Actinopteri, Salmoniformes, Salmonidae. The record is from Ensembl.